Non-coding RNA from Oryctolagus cuniculus (rabbit), 1873 nucleotides. NCBI's taxonomy places the organism in Eukaryota, Metazoa, Chordata, Mammalia, Lagomorpha, Leporidae. The record is from RefSeq and is a predicted model, not a curated record.
UCUGCCCAGCCCUGCACCUCUGAGGGAUCCUGGUGUGCCCGGCACAUCGGAUCUGUGUCUAAGGGCAAGAAGAAAGCUGCUUUUGCAUGAGUGUGUGUGUGUGUGUGUGCUUAUGUGUGUGUGUGUGUGUGUUUAGGAGAGAGAGAGAGAGUAAGAGAAGUGGCUUUCCCAUGAGCCUCCUAGUAUGCUUUUCCUUAGACCAGAGCUGGCGCAUAAACCCAAGUCCAGACCAAUCGCAAGUGAGGGGAGAAGCCCCGUCUGUGAUGAUACCGGGUGUCUCAUUGGAACGGAGCAGGAUAACCGCUCCUGGCACGCAGAUGCUUGCUGUGGCUUGCAGACAUUUUGUCUUCCAAAAAGCUCAUGAGCCGGAAGCUUGGUCUCCAAAGGAUGGUACUAAGGUGGCAGAAACCUGAAGGGGUGGACCUAGAGCAAGGCCGCCGGGAAUGCUGCCCUCAGAAGAGCUGGGGAAAGACUUGAACACAGAUCCCCCAGAGAUAAAAAAGAACCUUUGUCUCAACUCUUCUUCCAAAGCCCAGCUGUCCUAAUGAAGGUCUUCCUUGCACUCUGUGUUUGAGCCAACACUCCCUAGGCAUGGACGGCGCCUUGGACCACGCUCGCCCAGUGGUCAAAUCAGCUCUCGCCACCUAUUCCAAGCUGCACUUGCUAUUUCAGUCCAGUCGCUGAGCGCUUCCCUCGAAACCUCUUGAGCCUACAAGGAACAGGCAUGAGACCCAGGUUUGGACAACGAGCUGGAAAGGGCAGUCUGCUAAGGAAUCCUUGAGAUGCGUCUUCCUGAUGAAAGAGCACACGCUACAGAAGAAGCGCUCUAUCUUUCCUGUUUGGAACACUCCACGGUGCUGUGGUCCGCCCCACGCAGCCUGACCCGGGUCAGCUGGAGGCAAUGGCCUGAAAUGUAUCUGGAGUGCUUCUCUCCGGCUGAUGUCAGACGAUGAGAUUUCUGCUGUGUGACUUCCAGCGGAAGCUCCCAUCUUCUGUGCAUUUCAGGAACCGCAGUGAAAGGCACAUUCUGGGGUCAGCAUCUAUCUUCACUACAAAAGGGCCUCUCAAACCCCCGUGAAACUGAAUCUGUCGAGACACAGCUCGGACAGGGCUUGUGGGCAUCAAGCUGGGAGAUUCCUCUGUAUAGCUCUUCGAACCGUCCUUGUAACGACCUUGGACUUCUCUCACAGACUUGACACCGCGUGGGCCCAGCCCAGAAACCAGAGUGAACUGUGCACCAUCAUCUCCCAGCAGACUGAGGGAGUCCUUAAAGCUGCCUGGUGCAGAUCUGCCUCUCCACGCUUGGACGCCCGUGCCUUCUGCUCCGUCUCAUCUCUUUUUGUUCCUUUUGCAUAGCUGUCUCUCUACUCCUACUUCUCUGAAGUUUUUCCUAUUCCCCAGCCCUCAGAGUUUUCCUUUUCCAAGCUGUGCUGAUCAUUCCUGCCCAGCUGGAAGGAGCCACCGCACGGAUCAGUAGGAAGAGUCUGGUGAAAUCACUCUCACACCCCCUGCUCCUAGUCCAGCUCCAGGCAUCUCCAGGUAGAAUCAGAUCUAGCCAUCACCUAGUGGUCUUGUUAAUGUCAAUUUUGUCUGGGCUGGGGCCUGAGAUCCUGCGGGUGCUGCAGACCACGCUUAGCCAAGCAAAGCCCUGGAUCUGCACUGCCAUGUGAGGCAGCCACUUGUCACCAGUGACUGUGGAGCCCCUGCAAUGUGGCUGGUCUGAAUUGAGAUGCACUGACAAUGCUGAUUAGAUGCUGGAUUUCAGAGACUUAGCACAAAAGAGCAUCAGCUGUGGCAUGAAUCAUUUGCAUCAUUGAUUAAGUGUGGUAUGGGCGUAUUUUGGAUAUAUUGGGUUAAAUAAAAAUACCUGGCU